UGGGGAAUAUUGCACAAUGGGCGAAAGCCUGAUGCAGCGACGCCGCGUGCGGGAUGAAGGCCUUCGGGUUGUAAACCGCUUUUAAUUGGGAGCAAGCGAGAGUGAGUGUACCUUUUGAAUAAGCACCGGCUAACUACGUGCCAGCAGCCGCGGUAAUACGUAGGGUGCAAGCGUUAUCCGGAAUUAUUGGGCGUAAAGAGCUCGUAGGCGGUUUGUCACGCCUGGUGUGAAAGUCCAUCGCUUAACGGUGGAUCUGCGCCGGGUACGGGCAGGCUAGAGUGCAGUA
RNAcentral lists this ribosomal RNA (286 nucleotides) under uncultured bacterium. Its description in RNAcentral is "partial 16S ribosomal RNA". It matches the Rfam family "Bacterial small subunit ribosomal RNA", at positions 355 to 653 of the family's 1533-position model. The record is from RNAcentral.